GAUGAACGCUGGCGGCGUGCUUAACACAUGCAAGUCGAACGAUGAAGCCCAGCUUGCCGGGUGGAUUAGUGGCGAACGGGUGAGUAACACGUGAGUAACCUGCCCUUAACUCUGGGAUAAGCCUGGGAAACUGGGUCUAAUACCGGAUAGGAGCGUCCACCGCAUGGUGGGUGUUGGAAAGAUUUAUCGGUUUUGGAUGGACUCGCGGCCUAUCAGCUUGUUGGUGAGGUAAUGGCUCACCAAGGCGACGACGGGUAGCCGGCCUGAGAGGGUGACCGGCUACACUGGGACUGAGACACGGCCCAGACUCCUACGGGAGGCAGCAGUGGGGAAUAUUGCACAAUGGGCGCAAGCCUGAUGCAGCGACGCCGCGUGAGGGAUGACGGCCUUCGGGUUGUAAACCUCUUUCAGUAGGGAAGAAGCGAAAGUGACGGUACCUGCAGAAGAAGCACCGGCUAACUACGUG
RNAcentral lists this ribosomal RNA (466 nucleotides) under uncultured bacterium. RNAcentral's name for it is "partial 16S ribosomal RNA". It matches the Rfam family "Bacterial small subunit ribosomal RNA", at positions 28 to 507 of the family's 1533-position model. The record is from RNAcentral.